GAGCAAUAAAGCUUUUAAUCACCUGGGUGCAGGUGGGCUGAGUCCGAAAAGAGAGUCAGCGAAGGGAGAUAAGGAUUAAAUGGCUACAGGAUGGGAGUCAAAGCCUCUUUGGAAGAUUGCAUAAUGAUUGCAUCUACAUUCUCAUUGACACAUCUCACUCAAUGAAGAGCAAACUGGACUUGGUGAAGGACAAGAUCAUUCAGUUCAUACAGGAACAGCUGAAAUAUAAAAGUAAGUUUAAUUUUGUGAAGUUUGAUGGUCAAGCAGUUGCUUGGCGGGAACAACUUGCCGAAGUCAAUGAAGAUAGUUUGGAACAGGCUCAGUCCUGGAUUAGAGACAUGAAGAUUGGAAGCUCCACAAACACCCUGAGUGCCCUGAAAACUGCUUUUGCUGACAAAGAAACACAAGCAAUCUACCUUCUGACCGAUGGGAGACCUGAUCAGCCACCUGAAACGGUUAUAGACCAGGUCAAACUUUUUCAGGAAAUUCCUAUUUAUACCAUCUCCUUCAAUUACAACGAUGAGAUUGCAAACAGGUUUUUGAAAGAGGUUGCUGCUU
This 558-nucleotide small RNA is filed under the name Pongo abelii (Sumatran orangutan). RNAcentral's name for it is "processed transcript". Lineage: Eukaryota; Metazoa; Chordata; Mammalia; Primates; Hominidae. The record is from RNAcentral.